UGGGGAAUUUUGGACAAUGGGGGCAACCCUGAUCCAGCAAUGCCGCGUGUGUGAAGAAGGCCUUCGGGUUGUAAAGCACUUUUGUCCGGAAAGAAAACUUCGGGGCUAAUACCCCUGGAGGAUGACGGUACCGGAAGAAUAAGCACCGGCUAACUACGUGCCAGCAGCCGCGGUAAUACGUAGGGUGCGAGCGUUAAUCGGAAUUACUGGGCGUAAAGCGUGCGCAGGCGGUGCUGUAAGACCGAUGUGAAAUCCCCGGGCUUAACCUGGGAACUGCAUUGGUGACUGCAGCGCUGGAGUAUGGGAGAGGGGGGUGGAAUUCCACGUGUAGCAGUGAAAUGCGUAGAGAUGUGGAGGAACACCGAUGGCGAAGGCAGCCCCCUGGGCCAAUACUGACGCUCAUGCACGAAAGCGUGGGGAGCAAACAGG
This 429-nucleotide ribosomal RNA is filed under the name Bacillota bacterium. RNAcentral's name for it is "Firmicutes bacterium partial 16S ribosomal RNA". It matches the Rfam family "Bacterial small subunit ribosomal RNA", at positions 355 to 776 of the family's 1533-position model. RNAcentral also lists the same sequence under 1 other name. The record is from RNAcentral. Lineage: Bacteria; Bacillati; Bacillota.